Molecule: non-coding RNA, 30 nt
Filed under: Mus musculus (house mouse)
Lineage: Eukaryota; Metazoa; Chordata; Mammalia; Rodentia; Muridae
Source: RNAcentral
UAGAGAGUGUCCCCGUAGAGCAAUGCUGUA